This 467-nucleotide ribosomal RNA is filed under the name uncultured bacterium. RNAcentral describes it as "partial 16S ribosomal RNA". It matches the Rfam family "Bacterial small subunit ribosomal RNA", at positions 28 to 506 of the family's 1533-position model. The record is from RNAcentral.
GACGAACGCUGGCGGCGUGCUUAACACAUGCAAGUCGAACGGAAAGGCCCUGCUUUUGUGGGGUGCUCGAGUGGCGAACGGGUGAGUAACACGUGAGUAACCUGCCCUUGACUUUGGGAUAACUUCAGGAAACUGGGGCUAAUACCGGAUAGGAGCUCCUGCUGCAUGGUGGGGGUUGGAAAGUUUCGGCGGUUGGGGAUGGACUCGCGGCUUAUCAGCUUGUUGGUGGGGUAGUGGCUUACCAAGGCUUUGACGGGUAGCCGGCCUGAGAGGGUGACCGGCCACAUUGGGACUGAGAUACGGCCCAGACUCCUACGGGAGGCAGCAGUGGGGAAUAUUGCACAAUGGGCGGAAGCCGGAUGCAGCAACGCCGCGUGCGGGAGGACGGCCUUCGGGUUGUAAACCGCUUUCGCCUGUGACGAAGCGUGAGUGACGGGAAUGGGUAAAGAAGCACAGGAGAACUACGU